Molecule: ribosomal RNA, 592 nt
Filed under: uncultured bacterium
Lineage: Bacteria
Description: partial 16S ribosomal RNA
Rfam family: Bacterial small subunit ribosomal RNA
Source: RNAcentral
UAGGGAAUCUUCCGCAAUGGGCGAAAGCCUGACGGAGCAACGCCGCGUGAGUGAUGAAGGUCUUCGGAUCGUAAAACUCUGUUAUUAGGGAAGAACAAAUGUGUAAGUAACUAUGCACGUCUUGACGGUACCUAAUCAGAAAGCCACGGCUAACUACGUGCCAGCAGCCGCGGUAAUACGUAGGUGGCAAGCGUUAUCCGGAAUUAUUGGGCGUAAAGCGCGCGUAGGCGGUUUUUUAAGUCUGAUGUGAAAGCCCACGGCUCAACCGUGGAGGGUCAUUGGAAACUGGAAAAACUUGAGUGCAGAAGAGGAAAGUGGAAUUCCAUGUGUAGCGGUGAAAUGCGCAGAGAUAUGGAGGAACACCAGUGGCGAAGGCGACUUUCUGGUCUGUAACUGACGCUGAUGUGCGUAAGCGUGGGGAUCAAAACAGGAUUAGAUACCCUGGUGGUCCACGCCGUAAACGAUGAGUGCUAAGUGUUAGGGGGUUUCCGCCCCUUAGUGCUGCAGCUAACGCAUUAAGCACUCCGCCUGGGGGAGUACGACCGCAAGGUUGAAACUUAAAGGAAUUGACGGGGGUCAUAGCUGUUUCCUG